UUAGAGUUUGAUCCUGGCUCAGGACGAACGCUGGCGGCGUGCCUAAUACAUGCAAGUCGAACGAGGCUUUUUGAUUGAUGCUUGCAUCAGCUAAAAAGCCGAGUGGCGAAUGGGUGAGUAACACGUGGGUAACCUGCCUUGAAGCGGGGGAUAACAUUUGGAAACAGAUGCUAAUACCGCAUAACCACAAAAACCUCCUGGUUUUUGUGUCAAAGAUGGUUCUGCUAUCACUUCAAGAUGGACCCGCGGCGUAUUAGCUUGUUGGUGAGGUAACGGCUCACCAAGGCAAUGAUACGUAGCCGAACUGAGAGGUUGAUCGGCCACAUUGGGACUGAGACACGGCCCAAACUCCUACGGGAGGCAGCAGUAGGGAAUCUUCCACAAUGGACGCAAGUCUGAUGGAGCAACGCCGCGUGAGUGAAGAAGGUCUUCGGAUCGUAAAACUCUGUUGUCAGAGAAGAACGUGCGUGAGAGCAACUGUUCAUGCAGUAACGGUAUCUGACCAGAAAGUCACGGCUAACUACGUGCCAGCAGCCGCGGUAAUACGUAGGUGGCAAGCGUUGUCCGGAUUUAUUGGGCGUAAAGGGAACGCAGGCGGUCUUUUAAGUCUGAUGUGAAAGCCUUCGGCUUAACCGAAGUCGUGCAUUGGAAACUGGGGGACUUGAGUGCAGAAAAGGAAAGUGGAACUCCAUGUGUAGCGGUGAAAUGCGUAGAUAUAUGGAAAAACACCAGUGGCGAAAGCGGCUCUCUGGUCUGUAACUGACGCUGAGGUUCGAAACCUUGGGUAGCAAACAGGAUUAAAUACCCUGGUAGUCCACCCCGUAAACGAUGAAUGCUAAUUUUUGGAAGGUUUCCCCCCUUCAUUGCCCCACCUAACGCAUUAAGCAUUCCCCCUGGGGAGUACGAUCCCAAAAUUGAACUCCAAGGAAUUUACGGGGGCCCC
RNAcentral lists this ribosomal RNA (943 nucleotides) under uncultured bacterium. RNAcentral describes it as "bacterial SSU rRNA". It matches the Rfam family "Bacterial small subunit ribosomal RNA", at positions 1 to 923 of the family's 1533-position model. The record is from RNAcentral.